UCUAGUAUAAGCAAUUAUACCGUGAAACUGCGAAUGGCUCAUUAAAUCAGUUAUCGUUUAUUUGAUAAUACCUUACUACUUGGAUAACCGUGGUAAUUCUAGAGCUAAUACAUGCUGAAAAUCCCGACUUCGGAAGGGAUGUGUUUAUUAGAUAAAAAACCAAUGCCCUUCGGGGCUUUUUGGUGAUUCAUGAUAACUUUACGGAUCGCAUAGCCUUGCGCUGGCGACGGUUCAUUCAAAUUUCUGCCCUAUCAACUUUCGAUGGUAAGGUAUUGGCUUACCAUGGUUUCAACGGGUAACGGGGAAUUAGGGUUCGAUUCCGGAGAGGGAGCCUGAGAAACGGCUACCACAUCCAAGGAAGGCAGCAGGCGCGCAAAUUACCCAAUCCCGACACGGGGAGGUAGUGACAAUAAAUACUGAUACAGGGCUCUUUUGGGUCUUGUAAUUGGAAUGAGUACAAUUUAAACCUCUUAACGAGGAACAAUUGGAGGGCAAGUCUGGUGCCAGCAGCCGCGGUAAUUCCAGCUCCAAUAGCGUAUAUUAAAGUUGUUGCAGUUAAAAAGCUCGUAGUUGAAACUUGGGCCUGGCUGGCGGGUCCGCCUCACCGCGUGCACUCGUCCGGCCGGGCCUUCCUUCUGAAGAACCUCAUGCCCUUCACUGGGCGUGCUGGGGAAUCAGGACUUUUACUUUGAAAAAAUUAGAGUGUUCAAAGCAGGCCUUUGCUCGAAUACGUUAGCAUGGAAUAAUAAAAUAGGGCGUGCGUUUCUAUUUUGUUGGUUUCUAGAGACGCCGCAAUGAUUAACAGGAACAGUCGGGGGCAUCAGUAUUCAGUUGUCAGAGGUGAAAUUCUUGGAUUUACUGAAGACUAACUACUGCGAAAGCAUUUGCCAAGGAUGUUUUCAUUAAUCAGUGAACGAAAGUUAGGGGAUCGAAGACGAUCAGAUACCGUCGUAGUCUUAACCGUAAACUAUGCCGACUAGGGAUCGGGCGAUGUUCUUUUUCUGACUCGCUCGGCACCUUACGAGAAAUCAAAGUUUUUGGGU
This 1043-nucleotide ribosomal RNA is filed under the name Alternaria alternata. RNAcentral's name for it is "SSU rRNA". It matches the Rfam family "Eukaryotic small subunit ribosomal RNA", at positions 59 to 1112 of the family's 1831-position model. Lineage: Eukaryota; Fungi; Ascomycota; Dothideomycetes; Pleosporales; Pleosporaceae. The record is from RNAcentral.